AUAUGGAUGAAGGAGCUCUCUUCAGUUCACUUCGAGGCAGUGAAAGGCUGACACUCAGCUGCUGACUCGUUGGUUCAAGAGCUCAUCAAUGGAAAAUGUAGAAUCAUGAUGUGUUUCUGAUCCAACGAAGCAGGAGCUGCGUUUAGUCAUGGCUGUCACGUCUUGGACUGAAGGGAGCUCCCCCUUUCCACAAU
Molecule: microRNA precursor, 194 nt
Organism: Citrus x clementina
Lineage: Eukaryota; Viridiplantae; Streptophyta; Magnoliopsida; Sapindales; Rutaceae
Rfam family: MIR159 microRNA precursor family
Source: Rfam